GAUGAAGAACGUAGCGAAAUGCGAUACGUAAUGUGAAUUGCAGAAUUCAGUGAAUCAUCGAAUCUUUGAACGCAUAUUGCGCUCUCUGGUAUUCCGGAGAGCAUGCUUGUUUGAGUAUCAGUAAACACCUCAACUCCCUUUUCUUUUUUGAAAUUGGAGCUGGACUUGAGUGAUCCCAACGCUUUCUUCCAAGAAAGUGGCGGGUUGCUUGAAAUGCAGGUGCAGCUGAACUUUUCUCUGAGCUAUAAGCAUAUCUAUUUAGUCUGCCUAAAAAACAGAUUAUUACCUUUGCUGCAGCUAACAUAAAGGAGACUAGUUCUUGUGCUGACUGAUGCAGGAUUCACAGAGACAGCUUCGGCUGACUUUGUAAACUCGAUCUCAAAUCAAGUACGACUACCCGCUGAACUUAAGCAUAUCAAUAAGCGGAGGA
RNAcentral lists this unclassified non-coding RNA (430 nucleotides) under soil metagenome. Its description in RNAcentral is "partial contains 5.8S ribosomal RNA, internal transcribed spacer 2, and large subunit ribosomal RNA". The stretch from base 1 to 120 matches the Rfam family "5.8S ribosomal RNA", at positions 35 to 154 of the family's 154-position model. The record is from RNAcentral.